RNAcentral lists this small RNA (468 nucleotides) under Histoplasma capsulatum var. duboisii H88. RNAcentral describes it as "Histoplasma capsulatum H88 hypothetical RNA". The record is from RNAcentral. Lineage: Eukaryota; Fungi; Ascomycota; Eurotiomycetes; Onygenales; Ajellomycetaceae.
UGCGACAUUCCCAAAGCGACUCGACUCUCCGAGCUGACAUCAGAGAGAAGCUCAUUUUCCAAUGAAAAGGGGUAAAGCCGGCUGACGUUAACGACGUCCUUGGAAAUAACGUACUCGUAGUCCGGGUUGAGUGAAUACUCCUCACUUCUGGCCUGGAACUUGGCAAACACCUCAACUACCUUCUCGAGCGAACAAUCAAGUUCGUCCACUUCGCAAGUUGCGAAGUCAAGAAGCGUCUCACUGCGGAUUGUUCGGGCUGUGCCAAUGACUUGAGCGUAGCUUGGGUCGUGGCAUUGCAUUUGCGAAGCCUUAGUCACCCAAAGAAGACCAGAUUGACCAAGGCGAUCUAUCAACCCUUGGAAGGCUUUGAAACGAGGUUCUUCGAUAUCCUUGAAAAAAGGUGUGGCGAUGUCCAGCAAGGAGAUGAUAUCUUGGCCUUCUGGAAAUUCUUGGCCAAGUUGGAAAGGA